Myotis davidii is the source of this 74-nucleotide non-coding RNA. Lineage: Eukaryota; Metazoa; Chordata; Mammalia; Chiroptera; Vespertilionidae. The record is from Rfam.
GGUGGUUCUCAUGUGAUGCACCCCAGAAUUGGGCUCCCUCCUCUCUGGUUCCGGGUGUGUCACUGAGAACUGCA